GAUGAACGCUGGCGGCGUGCCUAAUACAUGCAAGUCGAGCGAACGGACGAGAAGCUUGCUUUUCUGAUGUUAGCGGCGGACGGGUGAGUAACACGUGGAUAACCUACCUAUAAGACUGGGAUAACUUCGGGAAACCGGAGCUAAUACCGGAUAAUAUUUUGAACCGCAUGGUUCAAUAGUGAAAGACGGUCUUGCUGUCACUUAUAGAUGGAUCCGCGCUUCAUUAGCUAGUUGGUAAGGUAACGGCUUACCAAGGCAACGAUGCAUAGCCGACCUGAGAGGGUGAUAGGCCACACUGGAACUGAGACACGGUCCAGACUCCUACGGGAGGCAGCAGUAGGGAAUCUUCCGCAAUGGGCGAAAGCCUGACGGAGCAACGCCGCGUGAGGGAUGAAGGUCUUCGGAUCGUAAAACUCUGUUAUUAGGGAAGAACAUAUGUGUAAGUAACUGUGCACAUCUUGACGGUACCUAAUCAGAAAGCCACGGCUAACUACGUG
RNAcentral lists this ribosomal RNA (497 nucleotides) under uncultured bacterium. RNAcentral describes it as "partial 16S ribosomal RNA". It matches the Rfam family "Bacterial small subunit ribosomal RNA", at positions 28 to 507 of the family's 1533-position model. The record is from RNAcentral.